UGCAAGCUUGGCGUUGAUAGUGUCUCCGCUCUUUUUAGACUUCUUGGUAACCACAGAUGCCAUUUUUACUUUUGUUGGAGAAAGGUGGUGCUAGAAAACUUAUGCUUCAUAAUUGUUCAGGACAAAUUAAAAUGUGACUGCUUCAAACCCUACCCUAAAGAUCUCAACUUUCAAGUUGAGCUAUUCAUAAGAAUAUUGUAUUAUGGAUUUCAUUUAAUAAGUUAGUUUUCUGACCUUCUAUUUUUCAAUUUAUUAAUCUCUACUAUUUGUUACUAUUUUAAGGGCAGGAGUUGGCUCUGAUAAUUGGCUUUACUAUCUCCAAUCCUAUAAUCGUACCUUUCAAGUUAUAGCUAUUUCAUAUAAAAAUAAAAACUAAACUU
Molecule: non-coding RNA, 380 nt
Organism: Schizosaccharomyces pombe (fission yeast)
Lineage: Eukaryota; Fungi; Ascomycota; Schizosaccharomycetes; Schizosaccharomycetales; Schizosaccharomycetaceae
Source: the annotation of a GenBank genome assembly